This 862-nucleotide small RNA is filed under the name Pan troglodytes (chimpanzee). Its description in RNAcentral is "processed transcript". The record is from RNAcentral. Lineage: Eukaryota; Metazoa; Chordata; Mammalia; Primates; Hominidae.
GGCUCUCCUUCGGAAAGAUGUCGGACACGGCAGUAGCUGAUACUCGGCGCCUUAACUCGAAGCCGCAGGACCUGACCGACGCUUACGGGCCGCCAAGUAACUUCCUGGAGAUCGACAUCUUUAAUCCUCAGACGGUGGGCGUGGGACGCGCGCGCUUCACCACCUAUGAGGUUCGCAUGCGGACAAACCUACCUAUCUUCAAGCUAAAGGAGUCCUGCGUACGGCGGCGCUACAGUGACUUUGAGUGGCUGAAAAAUGAGCUGGAGAGAGAUAGCAAGCUUGUUGCUUUCCAUGGCAGUAAUCCUCCUAGAGUCCAAGCAGUCUGUUGUAUGGAGCAGGGUGUGUGGGUUUUCUGGGCCCAUCAUUAUGGCUGCUUCAGAGUCAGAAGAAAGCCAUAGGGCAGUAGGGGAGCUCCUAUUGCCUAGCCCCUCUCCCUUUGUGGCUCCCACUCUAGCUGCCUAUUUUUGCUCAUCAGCUGGUGAGUCAGUAUGGGCCAGCAGUUCUCCCUCCCCAAGCCCUUGCUACUUUAUGGGUUAGCUUUGCAGGUUUGGUGGCUUGAGGGGUGGGGGCAACUCACCACUGCCAGGUAACUCCCUGAAGGGUGGGAGUGGAUUAUCUUCUAGGCUCUUACCCUCGGUAGGGAAGGGCAUCAACACUGUCUUCCUUCCAUUCUCCUUUCCCCCAUCCCAUUUAGUGCUGCCACAGGGCAGAAGCACACAAACCAACCACACAGUCUCUGACUUCUCCUAAGCACUUUGAGUUGUUGAAUGGGGCUCAGGGGCAAGAGUUUUUGCUGCCCUCCCCAGCGUGGUCACAGGGUUAUUGAACUGCCUGCACUUGUUUCUCAUGCAACUCCAGCAUU